UUCAUUUUCCUGAAUUUUGAACUUCCUACACACGGGAUUGUAAGUGUGUGCCUCUCUGCGUCUGGUUUGUUUCACUCGACCUUGUUUGUGAGACUUGCUCCCGUCGUACUGCCUGUAUUUAGCUCAUUCUACAUUCCUGACUAUGUGGCUCGCCCUUUUCAAGGUUGUGCGUGUCAGGGCAUAAAUCUGGGCACUGCAGGAAACAACGCCUUAAGGAUAUUCCUGCGCGUGUCCUUUGUACACAGCGUGUUAUGAAUUUCUGUUGUAUACACAAUGGUUAAUGGAGAAAUUCGAGAGUGGACUGUAGAGAUGUGGGGACCCUGUUGGAGUGGUCUAAGAAUGGAGGGGGCUGUGGCUUGGGUGAAGGAUGAGCGUACUCACCCCAAACCAGUGGGUCCUAGAGCUACUUGGAAGCAUUGUUAGGAUUUAAUGAUUGGAUCCAUGGGACGAGUGAGGGGUAAAGGUCAAUAAAACCUUCAAGGUGUCUGACUUGUUGACAUGGAAAUGGACUUCUCAUUCACCAUCAUCAAGCCACACUGGUCUACUGACCUGGAGACUGGAUGUGUAUGCUUGCAAAGCUCCUUCCAGUGCUAUGAGAAUUGGUCCUCAGGGAAGAGGAUUCCAGCCCAGUUCCAGCUCAAUUCCACUUUUUCUGUCUGAAGUGUGUAAUAUCUUCAACCACAGGAUCCUACCUUCAAUUUCUGGAGCUUUGGCUUCAGGUAUGUCCAUGCACCACAUGCAUGCCUGGUGCCUGCAGAGACCAGAACGCAGAGUCAGAUCUUCUGGAACUGGAGUUAUCAGGUUGUUGUUAGCCACCAUUUGGCUGCUGGGAUUUGAACACAGGAUCAUUCAUUUGCUGGAUCAAUGAGGUACUGGUCAAAAAACACCAGAGAAAAAUGGGAGUGCUUGUUCAUGAAGAUUGAAAUGGACUAUUGUGCUAAGUGGUUAGCAGUUCCACUGUUAGAUAUUGUAGAUAUUCUCAAUGUAAUGCUAUGAGCAACUGGACAAUCACAGUCUAUUAAACCAGGAGUCAAACUUACUUACUUUCUGGGAAUUUGCUGUUCUCUUUACAGAGAAAUUGACCUUGAUUAUCUGUUAUUUGCUUAGAUUACUUGUAAUCCACAAGGUGUAGUGAGUUAUUUGGUACCCAGAUGCAAAUAAGCCGUUCUCAAAAGGUCUGUUUUCCUGAUGGAGGCUUCGCCGCUUCCAGGCACCCUCAAGACAUGGCUUCCUAAUAUCACAAAGGGGACAAGGCAUGGACUGGAAGCAACUGAGAGUGGAAACUGAGAAAAGAACAGGUGAGAGAGAUUUGUUCUGACUUAGGGCCAGGCAGGAUACAGGAAAACUUAUAGCUACAAAUGAGCUUGGUUUCCUUCUAAUUUUGAAACUUUAUGUAGCAGUCUCAGAAAACACUCAGAGCUGGAGGACUUAGCUAAGUGGUACCUGGAAGCAUGACCAAGAGAAACUGAGAGAUAAUGCAUGUUGUUUCAAGCCACUGACGUUUUUUGGAGGUUGUUUGUUAUGCAAUGAGAGAUAGCUGAAACAGGUGAUAAACUGUAUCAUAUUGUGUUUAAUUUUUGGGCUUAUUUAUUUACCUUUAAGUAACUUUAUUCUUUCAUGGAUUUGCUCUUGAUGUUUCUUUUGCUUGAAAAUUUUUAGAUAAUAUUUGCCCUUCCAGACACAUCUCAGCUGUUGCUCCAGGAAGAUGAUUUGAACAUUGGACUGGGUACUCAACUCUGCACACGUCACAUUAGCGCCUUGUAGUGGGUAGCCAUUCCAGCUUGGAUCUGGAAGCUCCAACCCCCAUUGAGACUCUGGCAACU
This is a long non-coding RNA of Peromyscus leucopus (white-footed mouse), 1823 nucleotides long. RefSeq lists it as uncharacterized. The record is from RefSeq and is a predicted model, not a curated record. Lineage: Eukaryota; Metazoa; Chordata; Mammalia; Rodentia; Cricetidae. The transcript is spliced from 4 exons.